Molecule: long non-coding RNA, 1396 nt
Organism: Dermochelys coriacea (leatherback sea turtle)
Lineage: Eukaryota; Metazoa; Chordata; Testudines; Dermochelyidae
Exons: 4
Source: RefSeq, a predicted model, not a curated record
UGGCUUGCCUAACUGAAACUCACAGGUGCAGCAUUUAGCAUUUCCAAUUAGUGGAAAUCUGAAGCAGCAGGUGCCUUCUGAGAUAUUAAAAACCCUUGCAGUAGCAACCUACUAGGGGAAAGUCAAUGUAGGUAACUGCUUUACAGAGGGAGGAUGCAGAACUUCAGAAAGGAAAUCUCAACUGGUAACUUGCAAUAAGCCUUGUACUACUCUUAGGAGCUGAAGGCACCCAGGAAAACUUCUAGAAUUAUGGGAAUCACAGGAGAGACUUUCCAUAAAGGAAUUCCGUUUAAAAAUAACAGAUGGUAUAAAGAAGGUUAACAGGGAGAACAGAUGCUCCUGAUCUCAUAACUCAUGAAGAAGGGGACAUUCAAUGAAAUUAAAAGCUGUAGCUGCUGCUGUUUCUCCAUGGGCAUAUGCUUUUGUAAAGAGGGAAUAGUGUUGCAGUCAUUGGUCUUGAUUCGUCCCCAGGGCUACAAGAUGGUGUAAAAUGAAUCCCCCAGAUACCCAAAGACACAGCUGCACUAGCGAAAAGCAUUCACCCACAGGAGAGGGUAAAUGGUAAAUUUGCUGCAGCUGCCCUCUCCCAGGGGUUUUGCCUGGGGAGACCAACUUCAAAUUCUGGUUGGAGGUUGAUGGAGGCUUUUCUGGAGAUGUGCUAAUGACUAAAGGCUUGUCUUCACUGCAGAGUUAACUCAAGUUGUAACUAAAGUAUUGCCCCUAAUUCAGACACACAAAUCCCUAAAUCCAGUGUUGUGGUGUUUUUAAUUCAAGUUGGCUGGCCUGCUAAUGGGUAUAGACUAAAGCUUGAGUUAAUAAAACUCCUCAGGUGCUAACACAACUCUAUGCAGCUUCAGUGUUGCUUUGCGGUGUGGCUGCUCUUGUUCAAGCUAGGCUAAUUCAAAAGGUAUUAACCUGAAUGUAGAUAAACCAAAUUAACUCUGCAGUGAAGACAUGCUGUAAAUUACUAGAUCCCAGAUUUUUAAAUGUGUGUAUGCCUUUGGUUGACACUGAGUCGCAUGGGCAAAACACCUGAUGCACAUGUGCAAGUCAAAGAUUUGUGUACUUGCAUAUUUCUGUAUAUGCACAGCCCAACUGAAAUAUGCUUAUUGGGGAUUUUAUACACUCAUAACUUUAAAAUAUGCAUACAUUCCUGUUUAAAAAAAAAGUCUAAACCUCUGUUUUUCUCCAUAUUUAAAACGAAAGAAUACCUACCUAAUGCUAACAUUUAUUAAUGACUGUAAAGCAUGCAGAGAUCCUUUGAUGGAAAAUGCUAUAGAAUCACAAUAUAUAAUUAAUAUGAAGAAUUAAACUUGUUGAGAUUUGUCCAUCAGUGAUGUACCAUCUUUUCUGCUGUGGUUUUCUUCAGUCCCUAGAAUAAAUCUUAGUUAUGGAA